RNAcentral lists this long non-coding RNA (2749 nucleotides) under Sus scrofa (pig). Its description in RNAcentral is "lncRNA (ENSSSCG00060076147.1)". Lineage: Eukaryota; Metazoa; Chordata; Mammalia; Artiodactyla; Suidae. The record is from RNAcentral.
UCUUUUAUUUUAAAUCACUGCAUUAAUGACUCACUGUUAAUGAUGGGAGCAAUUCAGUACUGAUGGGAUAGGGGAAAAAAGUUCAGAAAUCAUUUUUCUGCAAGGUUUUUAAUAGUAGGUCAGGUAAAAUGGAAAAGGGCAACUCUGCAGCAACAGCAGUGAAGAUAUAAAGAAGGGAAAGUAAGAGAAGCAAUAAAUAUUGGGAGGAAUAAAAGAAAUACCAUGUUAAGUUUGGAAAUUGAAGUUAAGAUAUCUAUAUGGAUAUCAGUAGAUUGUGUUUAGUAAUCUUUGGGGAAUAUGAUUUAGAAGCUCACGAGCAACAUUGGGCAUUCAUAUACUGAUGUGAAAAUCUUUUAUUAUUUAAAUUAGGAGACCUAAGCUUACAGUCCGUAGUCCAGAUAACUUGCAAAUGUAUCCACAAUUUAAGCACAUUUCAAAAAAUUGAAUAGAUUAACAGUUAUGGAUGCUCAUCUAUCAACAAGGAAUUUUAGAACUAGGUAUAAAUAUGCAAAAGUUCAGUUCACACCAUGUAUACAACAGCCAUAAUAAAAUGGGAAUUCUUUUACUAGUUAUUGAGUAAAAGAGACAUUAUAUGUUCCUACAAGCACUGCUCAAUGAAAUGUUUCAACCAGGUUCAGAAAUGUAUUCAUACAUCUAUUAAAAAUAAGCUUGUAGUUGAAUAAGCAAUGUAAAUAGUGGAGGGACCUCAAAGGUCAAAGAAAAUUAUAUUAGGACCAUGGCAUCAAGUUUACUACCCCACUAUACAUGAAUGAUACUUAAGUUUCUACAAAACUAAACUGAAGUUAAAUAUACUAUACAAUAUAAUUCUUAUUUCUUUGAAAGUAUUCAUUGGUAAUUUUUGUUAGCCACUUAUUCUAUCAACUAAUAAUGACAAUUUGUUCUCCUUUAACUCAUGUCUCACAUUUCUUCGCAUUGGAUAGAGAAGUCCCCACCACUGCUCUAACAAUGGUGUUAGAGGACUUAAUUUCUUACUUCUGAUGAAUGGGAAUAUAUGACAAAUGAAUGUUGGAGUUCCCAUCGUGGCUCAGCAGAAAUGAAUCCGACUAGGAACCAUGAGGUUGCAGGUUUGACCCCUGGCCCCUUGCUCAGUGAGUUAAGGAUCCCGUGUUGCUGUGAGCUGUGGUAUAGGUCACAGAUGCGGCUUGGAUCUGGCUUUGCUGUGGCUUUGGCGUAGGCCAGUGGCUACAGCUCUAAUUAGACUGCUAGCCUGGGAAUCUCCAUAUGCCCCAGGUGCUGCCCUCAAAAGACAAAAGACGCGCACACACACACAAAAAGAAUGAAUGUUAAUUAUAUCAAAUACCUUUUUCAUAUCUGUCCAAAUGAUCCUUUGGUUUUUCUCUAAGAUCUUUUGAUGAGAUAAAUUCUGUUGAUAAAUUUCCUAUUACUGAACCACCCGUGUACUUUUAGAAUAAAACUUAAAUAUGUUUAAAAUAUUAAAAACAAAUAAAAACAAAAUACAUCCACAUCUACACUGAAAUGAAGAAUAAAGUCAAGGUUAUUACAUCAACACAUCUGAAGAUACGGUCAGAGCAUAGGUAAAGGAAGGAUGAAGUAACCAAGGAAAUGGGGGUAUCAGCUUCCAUACCCUGAGUCUAAAUAGCAGGCACAGUGCUUCCUUGUACCUACAGUUUGAUAAACUAAAAUUGAAAGUAUGAUAUACCAUUAAAUUUUAACAAAUUGACUGGCAAAUGUUGUAUCCCAACAUUUCGGUUAACCCUAUUCUAGGAGGGAUAUACUGCAAAUGCCCUACUUAUAAACAAGUUCAAGUUCGACAGAAGAGAUUUGGAAAAUGAUAGAGAAACUGGAAAGAAAUUAAGUCAGAGUUCUAGCAGAUUUAGCAUGAGCAGGAAUUAUUAUUUGCCAGGGUCUUUAUUCAUAGAACAGUAUUUCAUAAUAAACAUGAAUUACCAAGCAUCUCUUUCAUCAGUAGAUCUUCUGUUCAAGAAGAACUGAUGGAGCAAGUUCUUUCUACCAUAAUCAUCCAUGGAACUGAGAUUAAGAAUUCUAUGAAUUAUCUGAUUGUCUAAAUACUGGCAAUGUUUCAUCAUAUUCAUUUAUGAAGCUGAUGAAAAAUGCUAUGAAUGAUACCAAUGACAACCUAUACCUAGGGUCUGAUUUUGAGAUAUUUUUUAAUUGAAAUACAACCACAAUUUUCUUAAUAGUUCAGUCUAUCCAUUGAAUAUUCUCUCAAUUUUUCUCAAAAUUGCUUAUUGACCAUCAGAAGCCUCUCCAUUCAUAUAUGUGCAUAAUUGAAAUGAAAAUCAUAGUUCCAUGUAUUUAUCAUUUUCUAUGUGACAUUAUCUCCUAUAAUACUCAUAAUCACACUUAAGGUAUUCUUAUUUCCAUUUUACACAGGAAAUGAGACUCAGAAAGGUGAAUAAUUGCCCAGGUUCACAAACAUGGUAAACAGUAAACACAGCUGAAUUUGAUUAAAACUUAUUGUUAAAUCACUUUUGAAUCACUCCUUUGAAAGGGUCACAAUUUAAAAUGGCUUGAAUAUAAGGAGCAAAAAAUCUCUCUAAAUGUUUACUCUAAAUCAAUAAAUAAUAUAUAGAAUAUAAUCACCGAAAAGAUCAUAUUCAAAGAACAAUAUACAGAAUAUAUUAAAUAUAUGUAAACAGAAUAUAUAUGUAUAUAAUAUACAGACUGAGAUCAUUGAAAGGAAAGCAGCAAAAAUCACUCUAAAUAUUAGCAGUUAUUGUAAAUCAAUAACCAAUAUGUAGAAUAU